This 1249-nucleotide small RNA is filed under the name Malus domestica (apple). RNAcentral's name for it is "sRNA MD02G0044900". Lineage: Eukaryota; Viridiplantae; Streptophyta; Magnoliopsida; Rosales; Rosaceae. The record is from RNAcentral.
UGGGAAGCUUAUUGGGAGGAGCGACCCAAAUUCUGAGCAAAUCGUCGUCCGCUUUCUUCUUCCUCAAUCCAAAUUCGAACCUCCCUCUUUACAAACCCUCCAAAUCCCCUCGCCUCCUCCGCCCCUUCGGGAUCAUGGCCGCCGCCGACGCGUUCGUCAAGAGCAGCAUCCACCCAAUUGGCGUCGCCGUCAUCACCCUCGGUCGCCCCCCGAGCUCUCAACGCCAUGAACCUAGAUAUGGAUGUGAAAUACAAGAGCUAUCUAGAUGAAGGGGAAGCUGACACAAAUGUGAAGUGUGUUCUUGUUGAUAGCCGCUCGGGUCGUGCCUUUUGUGGCGGUAUUCACUGCUGAGUAUUCUCUAAUAUGCAAACUCUCUGAGUUCAAGAAGCCCAUAUAAGCUUCAUGGAUGGCAUAACAGUGGGCUUUGGUAUUGGCCUAUCAGGUCACGGUCGCUACCGGAUCAUUACAGAGAGGACUGUUCUUGCUAUGCCAGAGAAUGUAAUUUGUUUGUUCCCAGAUGUUGGGUUUUCACGUAUAGAGGCAAAGAAUCCAGGAGGAGGAUCUGUAGGUAUAUCCCCACAAACAGAUGGAACUUUAACAAUGCUGCUUAUGAAACAUAACAGAUGGAGAGGUGGAGAGCUUCAAGUUGAUUCCGUGAUGCAUGUUGCAAGCUCCAUACGGGGACACAAUGUUUCAAGCCAAAUUGCUUUUUUGUCAUUGACUUCCUUUCCCGACACAGGUACAUUAGCCCCGAGUCCUUCGGAUACCUGGAUCUACUACAAAGUUUGAGAAGUGGUGAUUGUUCCUAACUGUACAUUUUUCUUCUUUGGUACUGCCUGAUUGUGUUUUUUUUACUCCUGUUUCUUCCCCGGAUUUACAUAAAGCUAAUGUUACAAACUAGGCAACUAAAGCGGCUAUCUCCAAAUGCAGCUGUUUCUUCUUCUCUGUAUCGCUCAUUAAUGAAAAAUAACUAAUCAAGCUUAAAAUUUGCAUCGAAUUUCUUCUUAUCUUCCUCUUUUUUGUAUCUCUCAAUUUUUCGUCCCCUUUUGUCAAUCAACUUCGAUAUUUGUUCUUUUCUACAUUCUGUCCUCGACAAUUUCUUGAGGUGCCUCCAAAUACUGAAGACGGUUGUGAAAAGGUAACUGCUGACUGCUGUAUGUUCUCCCCGUAGAAAAACACAUUAUCGCAAUCGUUGUCAACCGCCUCUGUCUGCUUGGAACAAUGUGACACAGUCCCCUCCCCUGAGCAC